This 219-nucleotide unclassified non-coding RNA is filed under the name Hevea brasiliensis (rubber tree). Lineage: Eukaryota; Viridiplantae; Streptophyta; Magnoliopsida; Malpighiales; Euphorbiaceae. The record is from RNAcentral.
AAGUGGAAGAGCAGUACUUAUAUGUCUCUUGUAAAUCAUACACCUUAUGUUCUUUCAAUGAAACUCUGUAUCGGCCUUUCCUAGUGUUAUCAGAUGACAAAUUAGAAUGGCAUAAUGGAUAUCCACAGAGGUUUGCAAUAGACCGCUCAGUCACCACAUCUUCAUAGUCACUCCGAGACAUCAGAGACCCAGCCGCAAAUAGCUGGUUCUCAUUUUGAA